This 419-nucleotide ribosomal RNA is filed under the name uncultured bacterium. RNAcentral describes it as "bacterial SSU rRNA". It matches the Rfam family "Bacterial small subunit ribosomal RNA", at positions 30 to 453 of the family's 1533-position model. The record is from RNAcentral.
AUUGAACGCUGGCGGCAUGCCUUACACAUGCAAGUCGAACGGUAACGGGCCUUCGGGUGCCGACGAGUGGCGAACGGGUGAGUAAUGCAUCGGAACGUACCUUUCAGUGGGGGAUAACGUAGCGAAAGUUACGCUAAUACCGCAUAUUCUGUGAGCAGGAAAGCAGGGGAUCGCAAGACCUUGCGCUGAUUGAGCGGCCGAUGUCAGAUUAGCUAGUUGGUGAGGUAAAGGCUCACCAAGGCGACGAUCUGUAGCGGGUCUGAGAGGAUGAUCCGCCACACUGGAACUGAGACACGGUCCAGACUCCUACGGGAGGCAGCAGUGGGGAAUUUUGGACAAUGGGGGCAACCCUGAUCCAGCCAUGCCGCGUGAGUGAAGAAGGCCUCGGUUGUAAGACUCUUCGGUCCGGGUAACGGAAA